AGAUAUGAGGGUGAUCUGGCUGCAACAUCUGUCACCCCAUUGAUCACCAGGGUUGAUUUGGCUGAUCUCGCUGGCUGGGCGGGCAUCCUCUUCCUUCCUCACCCCUCCAUGUGCGUCCCUCCCAAAGCUGCACACUCGGUCAAGGAGGACGACCACCCCCAAUAGAGGACCAGUCUUUGGUCAAGGGUAUAUGAAUAGCUGCAUUCCCCUGCUAGAACCUCCAAACAAGCUCUCAAAAAUAUACCCAUAAGCAAUUAGAGUAGACAAGUGCUAUUACAUUCAUAAGUUGGUUCUGU
RNAcentral lists this small nuclear RNA (296 nucleotides) under Saimiri boliviensis boliviensis (Bolivian squirrel monkey). RNAcentral describes it as "7SK RNA (ENSSBOG00000002001.1)". It matches the Rfam family "7SK RNA". From Rfam's summary of the family: 7SK was discovered as an abundant small nuclear RNA in the mid-70s but a possible function has only recently been suggested. The record is from Rfam by way of RNAcentral. Lineage: Eukaryota; Metazoa; Chordata; Mammalia; Primates; Cebidae.